Molecule: ribosomal RNA, 490 nt
Filed under: uncultured bacterium
Lineage: Bacteria
Description: partial 16S ribosomal RNA
Rfam family: Bacterial small subunit ribosomal RNA
Source: RNAcentral
AUUGAACGCUGGCGGCAGGCCUAACACAUGCAAGUCGAACGGUAACAGGAAACAGCUUGCUGUUUCGCUGACGAGUGGCGGACGGGUGAGUAAUGUCUGGGAAACUGCCUGAUGGAGGGGGAUAACUACUGGAAACGGUAGCUAAUACCGCAUAACGUCGCAAGACCAAAGAGGGGGACCCUCGGGCCUCUUGCCAUCGGAUGUGCCCAGAUGGGAUUAGCUUGUUGGUGGGGUAACGGCUCACCAAGGCGACGAUCCCUAGCUGGUCUGAGAGGAUGACCGGCCACACUGGAACUGAGACACGGUCCAGACUCCUACGGGAGGCAGCAGUGGGGAAUAUUGCACAAUGGGCGCAAGCCUGAUGCAGCCAUGCCGCGUGUAUGAAGAAGGCCUUCGGGUUGUAAAGUACUUUCAGCGGGGAGGAAGGGAGUAAAGUUAAUACCUUUGCUCAUUGACGUUACCCGCAGAAGAAGCACCGGCUAACUCCGUG